RNAcentral lists this ribosomal RNA (500 nucleotides) under uncultured bacterium. Its description in RNAcentral is "partial 16S ribosomal RNA". It matches the Rfam family "Bacterial small subunit ribosomal RNA", at positions 28 to 523 of the family's 1533-position model. The record is from RNAcentral.
GACGAACGCUGGCGGGAUGCCUUACACAUGCAAGUCGAACGGCAGCGCGGACUUCGGUCUGGCGGCGGGUGGCGAACGGGUGAGUAAUGUAUCGGAACGUGCCCAGUAGCGGGGGAUAACUACUCGAAAGAGUAGCUAAUACCGCAUACGCCCUACGGGGGAAAGGGGGGGAUCGCAAGACCUCUCACUAUUGGAGCGGCCGAUAUCGGAUUAGCUAGUUGGUGAGGUAAAGGCUCACCAAGGCGACGAUCCGUAGCUGGUUUGAGAGGACGACCAGCCACACUGGGACUGAGACACGGCCCAGACUCCUACGGGAGGCAGCAGUGGGGAAUUUUGGACAAUGGGGGCAACCCUGAUCCAGCCAUUCCGCGUGUGCGAUGAAGGCCUUCGGGUUGUAAAGCACUUUUGGCAGGAAAGAAAUCGCACGGAUUAAUACUCUGUGUGGAUGACGGUACCUGCAGAAUAAGCACCGGCUAACUACGUGCCAGCAGCCGCCGUAA